GUGCUCACUUCAGUGGCACAUAUACUAAAAUUGAAAUAAUGAAGAGAUGAUUAGCAUGGCCCCUGCACAAGGAUGACAUACAAACUUGUAAAGCAUUUUGUAGUUUU
Small nuclear RNA from Bison bison bison, 107 nucleotides. Lineage: Eukaryota; Metazoa; Chordata; Mammalia; Artiodactyla; Bovidae. The record is from Ensembl.